UGGGGAAUAUUGGACAAUGGGCGCAAGCCUGAUCCAGCCAUGCCGCGUGAGUGAUGAAGGCCCUAGGGUUGUAAAGCGCUUUCAGCGGGGGAAGAUGAUGACGGUACCCGCAGAAGAAGCACCGGCUAACUCCGUGCCAGCAGCCGCGGUAAUACGGAGGGGGUUAGCGUUGUUCGGAAUUACUGGGCGUAAAGCGCACGUAGGCGGACCAGAAAGUUGGGGGUGAAAUCCCGGGGGCUCAACCCCCGGAACUGCCUCCAAAACUAUUGGUCUAGAGUUCGAGAGAGGUGAGUGGAAUUCCAAGUGUAGAGGUGAAAAUUCGUAGAUAUUAGGAAGAACACCAGUGGCGAAGGCGACUCACUGGACAGGUAUUGACGCUGAGGUACGAAAGCGUGGGGAGCGAACAGGAUUAGAUACCCUGGUAGUCCACGCGUAAACGAUGAAUGUUAGCCGUCGGGCAGUAUACUGUUCGGUGGCGCAGCUAACGCAUUAAACAUUCCGCCUGGGGAGUACGGUCGC
Molecule: ribosomal RNA, 519 nt
Filed under: uncultured bacterium
Lineage: Bacteria
Description: bacterial SSU rRNA
Rfam family: Bacterial small subunit ribosomal RNA
Source: RNAcentral